GCCGUGGCUCAGUGGUAGAGCUUCUGCUUGCUAUACAGAAGGUCCCAGGUUCAAUCCCCGGCAUCUCCA
This is a non-coding RNA of Euleptes europaea (tarantolino), 69 nucleotides long. The record is from the annotation of a RefSeq genome assembly. NCBI's taxonomy places the organism in Eukaryota, Metazoa, Chordata, Lepidosauria, Squamata, Sphaerodactylidae.